UACGUAGGGCGCAAGCGUUAUCCGGAAUUAUUGGGCGUAAAGAGCUCGUAGGCGGUUUGCCGCGUCUGCCGUGAAAGUCCGGGGCUCAACUCCGGAUCUGCGGUGGGUACGGGCAGACUAGAGUGAUGUAGGGGAGACUGGAAUUCCUGGUGUAGCGGUGAAAUGCGCAGAUAUCAGGAGGAACACCGAUGGCGAAGGCAGGUCUCUGGGCAUUAACUGACGCUGAGGAGCGAAAGCCAGGGGAGCAAACGGG
Molecule: ribosomal RNA, 253 nt
Filed under: uncultured bacterium
Lineage: Bacteria
Description: partial 16S ribosomal RNA
Rfam family: Bacterial small subunit ribosomal RNA
Source: RNAcentral